UUUGACGUUUUCCCAAAUGUUCAUCCAAUUGUAAUUCCACAUGCCUUAUCUAUUGGAAGGUCAUUACUAUGUUCCAGACGCUCUUCUCACUGCCACAAAAAACCGGGUUUUUUUCUCCAUCGUAAGGAGGAGACAUAGUGCGGAGAGGGAGGAAGUCUCCCUGCUGCAGCUAGUAUGGUCUGAAAAGAUCCCGUCGUCUUCACUUUAACCUUGCCGACCUUCUAGGCCACCCGCAACGGCAUCCCCUCUCCCCCAGUGCCUUCUCUC
Molecule: non-coding RNA, 267 nt
Organism: Caenorhabditis elegans
Lineage: Eukaryota; Metazoa; Nematoda; Chromadorea; Rhabditida; Rhabditidae
Source: Ensembl